Molecule: ribosomal RNA, 1856 nt
Filed under: Escherichia coli
Lineage: Bacteria; Pseudomonadati; Pseudomonadota; Gammaproteobacteria; Enterobacterales; Enterobacteriaceae
Description: partial 23S ribosomal RNA
Rfam family: Bacterial large subunit ribosomal RNA
Source: RNAcentral
GGGUUGUGAGGUUAAGCGACUAAGCGUACACGGUGGAUGCCCUGGCAGUCAGAGGCGAUGAAGGACGUGCUAAUCUGCGAUAAGCGUCGGUGAGGUGAUAUGAACCGUUAUAACCGGCGAUUUCCGAAUGGGGAAACCCAGUGUGUUUCGACACACUAUCAUUAACUGAAUCCAUAGGUUAAUGAGGCGAACCGGGGGAACUGAAACAUCUAAGUACCCCGAGGAAAAGAAAUCAACCGAGAUUCCCCCAGUAGCGGCGAGCGAACGGGGAGGAGCCCAGAGCCUGAAUCAGUGUGUGUGUUAGUGGAAGCGUCUGGAAAGGCGUGCGAUACAGGGUGACAGCCCCGUACACAAAAAUGCACAUAUUGUGAGCUCGAUGAGUAGGGCGGGACACGUGGUAUCCUGUCUGAAUAUGGGGGGACCAUCCUCCAAGGCUAAAUACUCCUGACUGACCGAUAGUGAACCAGUACCGUGAGGGAAAGGCGAAAAGAACCCCGGCGAGGGGAGUGAAAAAGAACCUGAAACCGUGUACGUACAAGCAGUGGGAGCCUCUUAAUGGGGUGACUGCGUACCUUUUGUAUAAUGGGUCAGCGACUUAUAUUCUGUAGCAAGGUUAACCGAAUAGGGGAGCCGAAGGGAAACCGAGUCUUAACUGGGCGUUAAGUUGCAGGGUAUAGACCCGAAACCCGGUGAUCUAGCCAUGGGCAGGUUGAAGGUUGGGUAACACUAACUGGAGGACCGAACCGACUAAUGUUGAAAAAUUAGCGGAUGACUUGUGGCUGGGGGUGAAAGGCCAAUCAAACCGGGAGAUAGCUGGUUCUCCCCGAAAGCUAUUUAGGUAGCGCCUCGUGAAUUCAUCUCCGGGGGUAGAGCACUGUUUCGGCAAGGGGGUCAUCCCGACUUACCAACCCGAUGCAAACUGCGAAUACCGGAGAAUGUUAUCACGGGAGACACACGGCGGGUGCUAACGUCCGUCGUGAAGAGGGAAACAACCCAGACCGCCAGCUAAGGUCCCAAAGUCAUGGUUAAGUGGGAAACGAUGUGGGAAGGCCCAGACAGCCAGGAUGUUGGCUUAGAAGCAGCCAUCAUUUAAAGAAAGCGUAAUAGCUCACUGGUCGAGUCGGCCUGCGCGGAAGAUGUAACGGGGCUAAACCAUGCACCGAAGCUGCGGCAGCGACACUAUGUGUUGUUGGGUAGGGGAGCGUUCUGUAAGCCUGUGAAGGUGGCCUGUGAGGGUUGCUGGAGGUAUCAGAAGUGCGAAUGCUGACAUAAGUAACGAUAAAGCGGGUGAAAAGCCCGCUCGCCGGAAGACCAAGGGUUCCUGUCCAACGUUAAUCGGGGCAGGGUGAGUCGACCCCUAAGGCGAGGCCGAAAGGCGUAGUCGAUGGGAAACAGGUUAAUAUUCCUGUACUUGGUGUUACUGCGAAGGGGGGACGGAGAAGGCUAUGUUGGCCGGGCGACGGUUGUCCCGGUUUAAGCGUGUAGGCUGGUUUUCCAGGCAAAUCCGGAAAACCAAGGCUGAGGCGUGAUGACGAGGCACUACGGUGCUGAAGCGACAAAUGCCCUGCUUCCAGGAAAAGCCUCUAAGCAUCAGGUAACAUCAAAUCGUACCCAAAACCGACACAGGUGGUCAGGUAGAGAAUACCAAGGCGCUUGAGAGAACUCGGGUGAAGGAACUAGGCAAAAUGGUGCCGUAACUUCGGGAGAAGGCACGCUGAUAUGUAGGUGAAGCGACUUGCUCGUGGAGCUGAAAUCAGUCGAAGAUACCAGCUGGCUGCAACUGUUUAUUAAAAACACAGCACUGUGCAAACACGAAAGUGGACGUAUACGGUGUGACGCCUGCCCGGUGCCGGAAG